This 490-nucleotide ribosomal RNA is filed under the name uncultured bacterium. RNAcentral describes it as "partial 16S ribosomal RNA". It matches the Rfam family "Bacterial small subunit ribosomal RNA", at positions 30 to 507 of the family's 1533-position model. The record is from RNAcentral.
AUUGAACGCUGGCGGCAGGCCUAACACAUGCAAGUCGAACGGUAACAGGAAGCAGCUUGCUGCUUUGCUGACGAGUGGCGGACGGGUGAGUAAUGUCUGGGAAACUGCCCGAUGGAGGGGGAUAACUACUGGAAACGGUAGCUAAUACCGCAUAACGUCGCAAGACCAAAGAGGGGGACCUUAGGGCCUCUUGCCAUCGGAUGUGCCCAGAUGGGAUUAGCUAGUAGGUGGGGUAACGGCUCACCUAGGCGACGAUCCCUAGCUGGUCUGAGAGGAUGAUCAGCCACACUGGAACUGAGACACGGUCCAGACUCCUACGGGAGGCAGCAGUGGGGAAUAUUGCACAAUGGGCGCAAGCCUGAUGCAGCCAUGCCGCGUGUAUGAAGAAGGCCUUCGGGUUGUAAAGUACUUUCAGCGGGGAGGAAGGGAGUAAAGUUAAUACCUUUGCUCAUUGACGUUACCCGCAGAAGAAGCACCGGCUAACUCCGUG